Long non-coding RNA from Syngnathoides biaculeatus (alligator pipefish), 480 nucleotides. RefSeq lists it as uncharacterized. NCBI's taxonomy places the organism in Eukaryota, Metazoa, Chordata, Actinopteri, Syngnathiformes, Syngnathidae. The record is from RefSeq and is a predicted model, not a curated record. The transcript is spliced from 3 exons.
AUAAGAACUCGACGCACAAGUUGUUCAGCCGCAACAAAAAUGAGUAAAUGAAAAUGUCCAAAUUGGGCUCAGUCAGCCACUUUCCCUUCCCUCGUGUCAUGUGACACGUUCCUGUCACAAGGUCACAGGUGCGAAUGGGGAAGCAGGUGUGUUAAAUUUGGCGUCAGGGUUCUCAUGCGGUCGGAUGUUGGUCAGUGGGAGUUUAAUGCAAAGAACUCAGGGAGGAUUUCAAGAAGAAAUGUGACUUCACAUCAAAGUGCAGCAAUUGACUACUACUGUCAAUUGUAGUGGUCUUUUGUCCCAAGAUUUAAUAAAAUACAGUAUUUACAAAAAGGUGAAAAUGUUGAAAACAUCCAUCCGUUCAUUUCGUGUAGCGCUCAUCCCCAAAAGGUUAGAAGAGGAACUGGAGCCCAUCCCACCUGACUUUGUCCAAGGGAGUCAGAUUGGGGGUUUUCGGAAGAGGGAUGGGCUCCCUCAGCG